This 380-nucleotide ribosomal RNA is filed under the name uncultured eukaryote. RNAcentral's name for it is "partial 18S ribosomal RNA". It matches the Rfam family "Eukaryotic small subunit ribosomal RNA", at positions 592 to 976 of the family's 1831-position model. The record is from RNAcentral.
CAAUAGCGUAUAUUAAAGUUGUUGCGGUUAAAAAGCUCGUAGUUGGAUUUCUGCUGAGGACGACCGGUCCGCCCUCUGGGUGAGCAUCUGGUUCGGCCUUGGCAUCUUCUUGGGGAACGUAGCUGCACUUGACUGUGUGGUGCGGUAUCCAGGACUUUUACUUUGAGGAAAUUAGAGUGUUUCAAGCAGGCGCACGCCUUGAAUACAUUAGCAUGGAAUAAUAAGAUAGGACCUCGGUUCUAUUUUGUUGGUUUCUAGAGCUGAGGUAAUGAUUAAUAGGGAUAGUUGGGGGCAUUCGUAUUUAACUGUCAGAGGUGAAAUUCUUGGAUUCGUUAAAGACGGACUACUGCGAAAGCAUUUGCCAAGGAUGUUUUCAUUGA